UUGUAUGUUUAGUUUCACUUCCGCGUUUCGGAUAGGACAUGGGAUAAUAACGAUAAUCUGCGUAGUGAAAGUAUAUGAUAAACCGUGCAACUAUGUGGAUUUCGCACGUUUGCGUUUGACAGUAUCUGUAACCGAUGAUGCUUCCUGAGUUUUCUUCCCGCGUCUGAUUUUUUUUUUCUUCAUUUACACCGUUGCAUCGCUCGUGAUUUUCUGAUAAGCGAGGUGACUAUCCUAGCUUUCAAUUAAGAUUAGUAAGGCGUAAUUAGAGGAACCAGUUAGCUGUAGCCACAGUAGUAAAGAAUAUUUAUCCUGAUUAUAUUCGAUCUGUUUGGUCUCCUUAACGGUGCUGGACAACGCCGAGAAUACCAUGUAUAUAUUCCACAAAAUGCCAGUGCUGUCUUUAGUUGUUCUGUUGGUCCUCGUCAUUGAGGAUGGGGAAGCUGGCAACAACACAAGCAACUGUAAGCUGGGCUCAGUAUCGAAGAAUUCACAGGCUGAGAAAGAAGCUCUGAGCAGAUUGGAGCCCCUCACAAAUAGGAACUUCACUGUGAACACCGGUGGAGAUGAAGCCUACUCCUACCAGUUUCGUGUGUGUGGUGAUGCUGGGGCAAUCCCCGGAGGAGGAGUCGUGCAAAAAGACAAAGCGGGAAAGGAAACUGUUAUAGGGAAGUACACCGUCACAGAGGCUACUGGUGGCAGUAAGUACAGCUGUUUUAUCUGAUCUUCCUCCAACAUUUUGGGAACAUUGGGCCUCAUUCACCAAUAUUUUCUUAAGAAUUCUUUUAAAUUUGUUACUACGAAAUUUAAGAACAACCUACGUCGGAUUCAUGACGUGUUCUUAAGUAGCAGAAUUGUUCGCACGUUUGUUCUUAAGAAUGAAUAAUCCCACGUCUUCGUAACUGAAAGCGCGUUACAGUUUGUCCUAAUUAGCAUAGGGAAACGCCCUGUAAUUUCCCAUAAAAGGGCAUGAGACUGCAGGGCCAUGUGCAAGGAAUGGUGAAGAGACGCGCAGGCUGUGAGCCGCUUCGCACUAAGAGGAAAAAAAACUUCAGUAAUGCUUAAGUAGAAGUAUUAAUAGUAAAAUCCCAUUAUAGUGGACUUGCU
Non-coding RNA from Paramormyrops kingsleyae, 1104 nucleotides. Lineage: Eukaryota; Metazoa; Chordata; Actinopteri; Osteoglossiformes; Mormyridae. The record is from RefSeq and is a predicted model, not a curated record.